RNAcentral lists this ribosomal RNA (390 nucleotides) under Althepus sp. 74 FL-2018. Its description in RNAcentral is "partial 16S ribosomal RNA". It matches the Rfam family "Bacterial large subunit ribosomal RNA", at positions 1858 to 2601 of the family's 2925-position model. Lineage: Eukaryota; Metazoa; Arthropoda; Arachnida; Araneae; Ochyroceratidae. The record is from RNAcentral.
CCUGCUCAAUGAAACUAAAUAGCCGCUAUUAUAGUGCUAAGGUAGCAUAAUCACUUGUCUUUUAAUUUAAGAAUAGAAUGAAAGGAAAAACGAGUAAAUAACUUUAUUCAAUUUACUUAAUUAAAUUAAUAUAAAAGUAAAAAAGCUUUUAAAUAAAGAAAAGACGACAAGACCCUUUAGAACUUCACUAAAAGUUAAACUGGGACGGUUCAUUAUAAAAUCUAAAAUAAACACAAAAAUAAAUCAUAACAAGUUACCUAAGGGAUAACAGCAUAAUAUUAAUUUAAAGAUCUUAUAUAAAUUAAUGAUUAUGACCUCGAUGUUGAAUUACCAUACUAUUUUAAGAAAAAUUUAAAUAAGUAAGUCUGUUCGACUUUUAAAUAAGUACAU